GAUGAACGCUGGCGGCGUGCCUAAUACAUGCAAGUCGAGCGAACAGACGAGGAGCUUGCUCCUCUGACGUUAGCGGCGGACGGGUGAGUAACACGUGGAUAACCUACCUAUAAGACUGGGAUAACUUCGGGAAACCGGAGCUAAUACCGGACAAUAUAUUGAACCGCAUGGUUCAAUAGUGAAAGACGGUUUUGCUGUCACUUAUAGAUGGAUCCGCGCCGCAUUAGCUAGUUGGUAAGGUAACGGCUUACCAAGGCAACGAUGCGUAGCCGACCUGAGAGGGUGAUCGGCCACACUGGAACUGAGACACGGUCCAGACUCCUACGGGAGGCAGCAGUAGGGAAUCUUCCGCAAUGGGCGAAAGCCUGACGGAGCAACGCCGCGUGAGUGAUGAAGGUCUUCGGAUCGUAAACUCUGUUAUUAGGGAAGAACAAAUGUGUAAGUAACUAUGCACGUCUUGACGGUACCUAAUCAGAAAGCCACGGCUAACUACGUG
Molecule: ribosomal RNA, 496 nt
Filed under: uncultured bacterium
Lineage: Bacteria
Description: partial 16S ribosomal RNA
Rfam family: Bacterial small subunit ribosomal RNA
Source: RNAcentral